RNAcentral lists this small nuclear RNA (194 nucleotides) under Nicotiana sylvestris (wood tobacco). RNAcentral's name for it is "U2 spliceosomal RNA". It matches the Rfam family "U2 spliceosomal RNA". Rfam says of the family: U2 is a small nuclear RNA (snRNA) component of the spliceosome (involved in pre-mRNA splicing). RNAcentral also lists the same sequence under 1 other name. The record is from Rfam by way of RNAcentral. Lineage: Eukaryota; Viridiplantae; Streptophyta; Magnoliopsida; Solanales; Solanaceae.
AUACCUUUCUCGGCCUUUUGGCUAAGAUCAAGUGUAGUAUCUGUUCUUAUCAGUUUAAUAGCUGAUAUGUGAGUCAUCAACUCACACGAUAUUAACUAAUUUUUUAAGGGGCUUGUCCAUCACGAUAGCUUGCUAUCGGGACCUUCAAGCAUCGCCUUGGUGUUGCACUACUACCUUGGUCUGGCGCACCCCAC